CCUGCCCCUAGGGGCACUGCAGAUGUGGCUGCCGUGUCACAUACACAUCAGUAGGUGGCAGAGAGGAGAGAGGCUGUGUCUGCACUCAGUGUUCCGACCUAUGGACAUCUGAAGAUCAGUAGCCUAACACU
Grammomys surdaster is the source of this 131-nucleotide small nucleolar RNA. RefSeq annotates it as small nucleolar RNA SNORA17. The transcript has a single exon. The record is from RefSeq and is a predicted model, not a curated record. NCBI's taxonomy places the organism in Eukaryota, Metazoa, Chordata, Mammalia, Rodentia, Muridae.